GGGGAAAAAAGGGGGGUACUUCCAGACAACUGAAGUCAUUUAUAUGGACAAAUUCGUUCAUAGAUUAACCCAGUUUCAAUGUACUACAUACAUGUACAUCUGUUACACACUGCAGCAUAAUUAAAUAACUACAGAAAAUGUAAUACUGAGGAGUUUGAGCAACAUGAAAAACAUCAACAAAUGACGGUGUAAAGCCUUCAACCCA
RNAcentral lists this long non-coding RNA (205 nucleotides) under Mytilus galloprovincialis (Mediterranean mussel). The record is from RNAcentral. Lineage: Eukaryota; Metazoa; Mollusca; Bivalvia; Mytilida; Mytilidae.